Molecule: ribosomal RNA, 1232 nt
Filed under: metagenome
Description: bacterial SSU rRNA
Rfam family: Bacterial small subunit ribosomal RNA
Source: RNAcentral
UAGCUAGUUGGUGAGGUAAUGGCCCACCAAGGCGACGAUCGGUAGCCGGACUGAGAGGUUGAACGGCCACAUUGGGACUGAGACACGGCCCAGACUCCUACGGGAGGCAGCAGUGGGGAAUAUUGCACAAUGGGGGAAACCCUGACGCAGCGACGCCGCGUGGAGGAAGAAGGUCUUCGGAUUGUAAACUCCUGUUGUUGAGGAAGAUAAUGACGGUACUCAACAAGGAAGUGACGGCUAACUACGUGCCAGCGGCCGCGGUAAAACGUAGGUCACAAGCGUUGUCCGGAAUUACUGGGUGUAAAGGGAGCGCAGGCGGGAAGACAAGUUGGAAGUGAAAUCUAUGGGCUCAACCCAUAAACUGCUUUCAAAACUGUUUUUCUUGAGUAGUGCAGAGGUAGGCGGAAUUCCCGGUGUAGCGGUGGGAUGCGUAGAUAUCGGGAGGAACACCAGUGGCGAAGGCGGCCUACUGGGCACCAACUGACGCUGAGGCUCGAAGGUGUGGGUAGCAAACAGGAUUAGAUACCCUGGUAGUCCACACCGUAAACGAUGAUUACUAGGUGUUGGAGGAUUGACCCCUUCAGUGCCGCAGUUAACACAAUAAGUAAUCCACCUGGGGAGUACGACCGCAAGGUUGAAACUCAAAGGAAUUGACGGGGGCCCGCACAAGCAGUGGAGUAUGUGGUUUAAUUCGACGCAACGCGAAGAACCUUACCAAGUCUUGACAUCCCUUGACGAACAUAGAAAUAUGUUUUCUCUUCGGAGCAAGGAGACAGGUGGUGCAUGGUUGUCGUCAGCUCGUGUCGUGAGAUGUUGGGUUAAGUCCCGCAACGAGCGCAACCCUUACUGUCAGUUACUACGCAAGAGGACUCUGGCAGGACUGCCGUUGACAAAACGGAGGAAGGUGGGGAUGACGUCAAAUCAUCAUGCCCUUUAUGACUUGGGCUACACACGUACUACAAUGGCGUUAAACAAAGAGAAGCAAGACCGCGAGGCGGAGCAAAACUCAGAAACAACGUCCCAGUUCGGACUGCAGGCUGCAACUCGCCUGCACGAAGUCGGAAUUGCUAGUAAUCGUGGAUCAGCAUGCCACGGUGAAUACGUUCCCGGGCCUUGUACACACCGCCCGUCACACCAUGAGAGCCGGGGGGACCCGAAGUCGGUAGUCUAACCGCAAGGAGGACGCCGCCGAGGGUAAAACUGGUGAUUGGGGUGAAGUCGUAACAAGGUAG